Molecule: ribosomal RNA, 253 nt
Filed under: uncultured bacterium
Lineage: Bacteria
Description: partial 16S ribosomal RNA
Rfam family: Bacterial small subunit ribosomal RNA
Source: RNAcentral
UACGGAGGGUGCAAGCGUUAUCCGGAUUCACUGGGUUUAAAGGGUGCGUAGGUGGGCAAGUAAGUCAGUGGUGAAAUCUCCGGGCUUAACCCGGAAACUGCCAUUGAUACUAUUUGUCUUGAAUACUGUGGAGGUCAGCUGAAUAUGUCAUGUAGCGGUGAAAUGCUUAGAUAUGACAUAGAACACCAAUUGCGAAGGCAGCUGGCUACACAAAUAUUGACACUGAGGCACGAAAGCGUGGGGAUCAAACAGG